RNAcentral lists this ribosomal RNA (500 nucleotides) under Pseudidiomarina marina. RNAcentral describes it as "bacterial SSU rRNA". It matches the Rfam family "Bacterial small subunit ribosomal RNA", at positions 38 to 524 of the family's 1533-position model. Lineage: Bacteria; Pseudomonadati; Pseudomonadota; Gammaproteobacteria; Alteromonadales; Idiomarinaceae. The record is from RNAcentral.
CGCCGGGGCGGCAGGCUACACAUGCAGUCGAGCGGCAGCGGGGAGUAGCUUGCUACUUUGCCGGCGAGCGGCGGACGGGUGAGUAAUGCUUGGGAACUUGCCUUUAGGAGGGGGAUAACCACGGGAAACUGUGGCUAAUACCGCAUAAUGUCUACGGACCAAAGCAGGGGAUCUUCGGACCUUGCACCUAGAGAUAGGCCCAAGUGAGAUUAGCUAGUUGGUGGGGUAAAGGCCCACCAAGGCGACGAUCUCUAGCUGUUCUGAGAGGAUGAUCAGCCACACUGGGACUGAGACACGGCCCAGACUCCUACGGGAGGCAGCAGUGGGGAAUAUUGCACAAUGGGGGAAACCCUGAUGCAGCCAUGCCGCGUGUGUGAAGAAGGCCUUCGGGUUGUAAAGCACUUUCAGUGGUGAGGAAGGAUGUAAGAUUAAUACUCUUGCAUAUUGACGUUAGCCACAGAAGAAGCACCGGCUAACUCCGUGCCAGCAGCCGCGGUAAU